GAUGAACGCUGGCGGCGUGCCUAAUACAUGCAAGUCGAGCGAACAGAUGAGGAGCUUGCUCCUCUGACGUUAGCGGCGGACGGGUGAGUAACACGUGGAUAACCUACCUAUAAGACUGGGAUAACUUCGGGAAACCGGAGCUAAUACCGGAUAAUAUAUUGAACCGCAUGGUUCAAUAGUGAAAGACGGUUUUGCUGUCACUUAUAGAUGGAUCCGCGCCGCAUUAGCUAGUUGGUAAGGUAACGGCUUACCAAGGCAACGAUGCGUAGCCGACCUGAGAGGGUGAUCGGCCACACUGGAACUGAGACACGGUCCAGACUCCUACGGGAGGCAGCAGUAGGGAAUCUUCCGCAAUGGGCGAAAGCCUGACGGAGCAACGCCGCGUGAGUGAUGAAGGUCUUCGGAUCGUAAAACUCUGUUAUUAGGGAAGAACAAAUGUGUAAGUAACUAUGCACGUCUUGACGGUACCUGAUCAGAAAGCCACGGCUAACUACGUG
RNAcentral lists this ribosomal RNA (497 nucleotides) under uncultured bacterium. Its description in RNAcentral is "partial 16S ribosomal RNA". It matches the Rfam family "Bacterial small subunit ribosomal RNA", at positions 28 to 507 of the family's 1533-position model. The record is from RNAcentral.